This is a long non-coding RNA of Peromyscus californicus insignis, 20078 nucleotides long. RefSeq lists it as uncharacterized. The transcript is spliced from 2 exons. The record is from RefSeq and is a predicted model, not a curated record. Lineage: Eukaryota; Metazoa; Chordata; Mammalia; Rodentia; Cricetidae.
CCCUUCCCUCCCCUCCCCUUCCCUUCCCUCCCCUCCCCUCCCCUCCCCUCCCCUCCCCUUCCGUUUCUUUUUUGAGACAGGGUUUCAUGUAGCCUAGGCUAUCCUUGAACUGAUUUUUCUGCCUCCACCUCUGGAAUGCAGGGAUGAUCACCAUCCACCACCAUGCUUGGCUAGUUUCUAAUUCUCCCGUAGACAGAUAGGAUGGCCAGGCAUCCCAGGAGGCUAAAACAAGUGAGUUGUGAAAGAUUAGCUUGGGCUACCCAGUGAGGUGAAGGGCCAGCCUGGUUUUAAUAGUGGGACCCUGUUUCAGCCAUCACCUCUGCCUGCAUUAAGAGCUUGUGGGAAGGUCAAGGAAAUCCACAAGCUGCCCACCUCUUUUCCCCCAGCCUUAGGCUGACAGCACUCUCCUUCCAGUUCACCAGCCAUGGGCUAAGGAUGUAGGGGAGAGAGAUGGGCUGUGGCUCAUGAGGAAUUUGCUGUGGGAAAAAUGUUUCUCCCAAACCAUGACCAGGAAGUACUGUUUUGACCAAGAUUUGCCACAUGCGCUGUCCUCUUGGCGGUGUGACCCGAGGGUUUCUGCACCACAUAAACUUCAAUAGGGCUCAGUUCUCAGGCUCAGAACAGCCCACCCCACACAGGCCACCAAGACCUCUCUCUCCAUCCCCGUGGUUGGUACUGCUGUGCUCUCCUGUGAGACAGCCUUGACCUUGAGCAGGACCUAGGCUGGCUGGCCCAGCCUGUAUGCAGGUGGGAAGCCAUUCUCUGCUGACUCAGGCCUGGCCUGGGGCAGGUGCAUGCCUUCAGCCUAUGAGUAACACUGGUGUUUCAUCUUCAAAGGGCCUGCCUUCCCAGGAUUAACCAAUUAGUCACCCCAGGAGAGCCACAGUACAGGUUACUACUGUCUUCAUUAGGCUAGAAUGAAGCUGGGGGAGGGGAGAGAGGAGGCUCCUACUGCAGGCCAGGAGGAGCAUCAGUGUGUACAUUCGGUGUAGGAUGCCCCAUGGUAUGGGAUGGACAGGAUGAGACAAGACCCCCAUAUGGAGCUGGAGCUGAUCCCUGGAUGGGAAUGAAAGACACCUGGGGGAUGUUAUGGACUGGGGAGUCCUGGUUCCAUGCAGAGUGUCCUUCUUGUGACUAGGGAGAUGGCCCAGCAGGUAAAGUGCUUGCUAAGCUGGUGUAAGGACCUGAGUUCAGACCCGUAUAAAAAGCUGGACUAGGUGGGUCACAUGCCUAUGACCCCAGAGCUGGGGUGGGGGCAUGGAAACAGAGAGAGCUUUAGAACUCUCUGGCCAGCUAGUUUAGCCGAAGCCAUGAAGUCUAGGUUCAGUGAGAGACCCUAUCUAAAAAAACAAAACCAAACCCAAAGUGGCGAGCAAUAGAGGGGGACCCCUGAAGUCGGUGUCUGGCUUCCACCCAUAUGCACACACAGAUGAGCUCACUUACACACACACACACACACACACACACACACACACACACACACACACACACACACACGAGGCGGGAAGGGAGAGGUUGGUAGGGGAACUGACCCGUGGGGACCACCAUGUGUUCUCACCAUUGCAGUCCAACCUCACUCUGCCCCUCUGAGCCUUCCAGGCAUCUAUAGCAUGAGUCUUUCAACAGUUUCUGGUGCGCGUGUGUGUGAGAGAGAUUCUUUUUGGGGGUGUGGUGGGGAGGAACUUUUGAGACAGGAUUUCCCAUAUCCUAGGCUGGCUUUGAACUUGCUCUGUAGCUGGGAAUGGUUUUGAACUCUUGACCCUCCUGCCUCCGCCUCCCAACUGCUGGGAUUGCAGGCCUGCGCCAUCACAUCCAGUUGAGUCGGGGGAUUCAGGGGACUUCAGGGAUGAUAAGGACCUGCCACGCAGAUGCCUGGCACAUAAACCGUUGCGAUGUGAAAACUUAGAAGAGUAAGAGGCGGACAUGGCACCCUGGCCACACACGUGUCCCUCUGAGGUACAUGGUGAAGAAAGCGAGGGUCGUAAAGGUAAGUUUGCAUCUUGGAAGUGCGAUAGGGGCAAGCCUUUCCAUCAAGCCUCUCCGCAGCUGCUUUUUAUAACCUUGGCAUCAACAUGUGCCUGGCAGUGCCAGCACAGUGUAUCUGGAAAAUAUUUUCUGCACACACACACACACACACACACAAAACCGCACACGCACACGCACGCCCGGAAAGGGGAUAAAGGAAAAAAACAAAACCAGCCAACAACAAACAGAAAAUGUGAAGGAUACAGAAUGUCUUCACAGAGUGGUUCCCGCCCAUGACUUCUCCAGCUCAUUUCCCCGCUGCCAAUUUUAGAAGGCCAGAAGUCACUGUUGUUGUUAAACUUUGCCAGUAAGAAUGUAACUCCAAGGGAAGAGUCAUGUGAUAGACUGGUCAGAAAGCCUUUGGAGAGCUGCCCCAGUGGAAGCUACACCUUCACCUCUGAACUGGCCCCAUGUAUUUUCUGUGUUGGACAUUGCGCUCCACAGUGGGCCUGCCUCUCGGGAGCUCAGGCCUAGGAAAUCUCCAAAGAGCCUCCCUAACAGGAAAGAGAGGUAUGAUGCACCAAGCUGUCAUCAUUUGUCCCGUGUGACCCAGAAACAGAGUGGAUGUCAUUAAGGGCAACCUACUGCAAGAUCUUCUAGAUAUGGCUGUACCUGCUGUCUCACACCCCCACCCUGCAGAAUCAGGAAGCAAGGAGCUGAAAGAGAGUGACUGGAUUGUGGAGGCCCGAUUUCCUCCCUCGUUUGGAAGCACUGAAAAGCCAGGAAGAACAGCCAGGUCAGUGGUCUGGGCUUUGAGACUAGCAGGCUGGACAUUCUCUUGGCCUAGAAGACUAGAGGCAGGUAAGCCCUGUGAUCUCCUCUAGCAAUUUCAAUGGCAGUCAACUCGAAGAACACAGCAGGCAGGCAGACAUUUCAAAUGCCUGUGCUUAGGACCAACUAUGAAAACCCAAAGUCCAGCAAGGUGCCUGUAGCAUAGUCAACGGUCAGUGUGGAAGACAGCCCCACCCUCUUUCCAGUCUCUCUCUUGUGUCUUGUCUAUUAUUCUCCCUGGAUGGCCAUUCCCAGCAGCAGGUGGGGGGUACUGAGGGUUGCAGGGGAAGGCAGGGAGAAAGGAAGGUUUUCUUGGUGGCCGGGUCCCCAAGCCCUUGGCCCGGUGUAAUCUCAGUCAGCACAGAGCCAGAACUGGGAUGGCUGCUCUGGAAGCUAGAUUGUUGUGUCGGAUCCAGGAGUUAAGGUCAGCACUGGUAAAUAAAUCCAGUCCCAAAUUCUGCCCCUGAGUUGCUGAGCUGCCAGCGUAAGACCACCCUCUUGGGCUGAGAGAUGACUCAGCGGUUAAAGGCACUGGCUGCUCUUCCAGAGGCCCUGAGUUCAAUUCCAAGCAACCACAUGGUGGCUCACAACCACCUGUAAUGAGAUCUGGUGCCCUCUUCUGGUGUGCAGGGACACAUGCAGGCAUAACAUUGUAUACAUAAUAAAUAAAUAAAUCUUAAAAACAAAACAAACAAAAAACCCCACCCCCUUUGUUCCAGAUGUUCUCUGGCCAAAGGGGCUCAAACUCCCCACACUCGGUGGUGGUGGUUGUUUUCUACUCUUUUUGGGGUCCCGCCACCCAGCUCCCAAAUAAAUUACACUCAGGCGUAUUCUUAAUUAUAUGCCUGGCCUUGACUUGGGCUGUUGCUAGCCAGCUUUUUUUAACUUAUCCCAUCUACCUUUGGCCUCAAGGCUUUUCCUGUUCUCUUACUUCUGUCAAUCUUACUCUUACUUUGUGGCUUGCUGUGGAGCUGAGUGGCUGGCCCCUGGAGUCCUUCUCCUUCUCUGGCUCUUUCUUUUCUUUUCUCCCAUAGUUCUCCUAUAUAUUCUCUCCACCCGCCCAUCCUUUCUCCUGCCUUGCUGUUGGCCGUUCAGUUCUUUAUUAGACCAUCAGGUGUUUUAGAUAGGCACAGUAACACAGCUUCACGGAGUGAAACAAAUGCAACAUAAACAAAAGUAACACACCUAAAAAUAAUAUUCCCCAACAACUUGGUGCAUGACAAGAUCAACUUCCUGACCACCCACACUAUGCCUUGGUGGAAAAUGUGAAGAUGGCUUCCCUGUCCAAGAGCCAGACUCUGUGUGGAGCCAUGUGGUGUUGGUUUAAAAAUGAAUCAUGUGUCAUGUGGUGGUACAUGACUGUAAUCGUAGUAUCCAAGAGGAGGCUGAGGCAGAAGAUCAAGAAUUUGAGGCCAGCCUGGGAGAGAUGUCUGUCAGGAAAAUGCCACUCUACAAGUGUGACGACCUGAGUUCGGUCCCCAGCACUCAUGUAAAAGCUGGGUACUGUGUGCAUUUAUAAUCCCAACAUGGAGGCAGAGAGAUGAGGAUACCUGGGGCUGGAUGGCUAUCCUAGCUGGAUUGGAAAGCUCCAGGUUCAGUGAGAGACCCUGCCUCAAAAAACAAACAACAGACAAAUUAAAAAAAAAAAAAAAAAACAAAAGCAAAAGCAUGGAGAGUGAUAGAGGAAGACACUUGGCACCAACUUCUGGCCUCCACAUGCAUGUAUAUGUUCACAUGUCCACAUACACCACACACACAUAUGAAACAACAAAAAGAUUACCAAGUGUGUGCUACAUCGUAUAGGCUUUUGGAGACAGGUUCUUUCCAAGGAGCAGGCAGUAGUCGGCAGGCGAUGGACAGGGGUCAAAGGAUUCCAGCUGUGGGCCAUGGGUGACACAGACCAUUGAGAGAGCUAGAAUUGAGAGCAUCCUUGGAUUGGUGGUGUCCCUUCUCACAGCUGGGAUGCUGUGAACAGUGGGCAAAACAAUGUACCUGAAAAGCACUGUGGCAAGUGUGAUGACCCUCAUGAUUCUGGGCUGGGUCUGUUCAUCCCACCCCUGGGUCUGAUUCUGCUUUCUCUCUUUGAUAAGCUGAUUUAUUUGUUCAUGGGUUGAUUUUUAAAUUAAAAAAAAUUUCACUGUGUACAUGGUGUAGUGUCACACGAGAGCAUGUCUAUACACAUACAUAUUGCAUAUUGAGCGUGUUUCUCACAGAAUCUGCCUCAGUUAUGUUUCUGUAUACAUCUAGAAACUGUGUAGAAGCCAAAACAUAUAUUUGCUUAAUGUGAUUAUCUCCAGUUGCAUCUCUUUUCCUGAAGAUGAUGUAACUUUUCCUCUUCCUUGUGAACUGUAUGUACAUAAUGUCCAGGGAGAAUUCUGUCAUGUAUAUUAGCCAAGUUUUCUUUAUCUGUUCCUCUGUUGUUGGACAUCUGCAUGGGUUCUGGAACUUACCAGUUGUGACUAGUGCACAGCAAACGUUGAUGGGGUGUGCUGGCUUGGAGCGCUUUGGGCAGAUCGUCUGGGAGUGGAAGAGCUGGGUCACGUGGCAGAUCUAUUUUAGCUUUUGAAGAACCUCUGUACUGAAUACUGAUUUCUAUACUGAGAAAGGGUGGUUUUGCUAUGAAGCCCAGGCUGGUCUCAAACUCAUGGCAGUCCUCCUGCCUCAGUUCACUGAGCUCUGGUGUCUGGCAUCACACUUGGCUUGACUAACUUGAUUUAAUUAAUAAUCCAGUCCAAAAACAAACACCCAGGCAAACCCAUAUUCCAAACUGGCCUUAAAAAAAUAUGUUUUUGAGACAGGAGGUGGUGGUGCACACCUUUAAUCCCAGCACUUGGGAGGCAGAGACAGGCAGAUCUCUGUGAAUUCGAGGCCAGCCUGGUCUACAGAGCGAGUUCCAAGACAGUCAGAGCUACACAGAGAAACCCUGUCUCGGAAAACAAACAAUUUAUACUGGGUGUGAUGGUUCACAUCUAGACUCCGAGCACCCUUGAGACUGAGGCAACAGGCUAGAGCCUGAAUUUGAGGCCAACCUGGAAGUUCAAGGUCUGCCUGGGCUAUAUAUAACAAGACUCUGCCUUGAAAAACAACAAUAACAUUUUUUUUUAAAGGAUGGGGUGGGGUUGGGUGAGAAGGGACAGACACUGCCAUCUGAGUCCCUCAGUACUGCCUGAUUGCUAAGUCAGCUUUCCUGCAGAUGGCUUGCACAGAGCAGGCGUGGGGGGACAAACGCUUAUUUCCACUUGGCACACAGUUUCUGCCCGGGACCUCUCUGUCCUCCGGCCACAGCUUCUGAUGAUUUGAAAGCACUCAGGAAAUGAACUAGAAUUUUAAAAACUCCCUCCUCUUCCUUUUCCAAGCCAGCAAUGCCUUCCCAGAAAAGAAUAAACAAGGGAAGUGUGACUGCCUUCAACCAGACUGAAAAGCCCGUUCUGGAUGCUGGGCUGUUCUGGAUGCUGGGCUCAGGAUGCCCCUCCUGGGGGGAUGUGUGGAGAGGCAGUGUGGCCAUGGGUCUCAGAGGAAGAGGCAGUGGAGGUCCUGAGACAGCUGUGUGUACCAAACACACAGAGAGAAAGAUAGGCAUCCUCACGUGUGUGAGAGCCCCCCGUCGACCUGCAAGUGGACAGCACCUCUCCAUGACCCAGACACGUUUGUCUGCGUGUGGAUGACUAUCUGGGGCUUCUAGGUGUUUGUGUGUGAUUUGUGACAUUUUGAAGGGUUGUUAUUAAUAACAUGUCUGGCAGUACAGAGGCUGGGGGUGAAGUCUUUUUAGUUCACUUAUCGGGGCGGAGAACAUUUCCUUUGAUGAGGGAAAAAUCUCCACUGUGUUGCUGCCCCUCCCAUUAAGGUGACAGCAGAUGCUAGUUACCAUUCCUGUGCAGGACACAGUACUCAGCUGGGCUCCGAGGCCAGAGUCUGUUCCCUCUGUUGGGGAAUACACUUCCUAUUGAUUGUGGCUUAUGUGCAAUUCAGGCACCAACUUGAAGGGACACCGGGCCAGCAUUUACCAGUGGCUGUCUACACCUCAGGUUUCGCACUGGCAGGUGGUGAUCGUGCCACAGACUCCAUGAGGAGACAUUCUUUUACUGUCAAAACAAUAAAGGAUGUUUUCCUGACUCGUCGUCGUCAGAGGACCCUCUCCUCCUUUUCAUUUGACAGUAAAUAUAAUUAGUAACAGUCUGAGCUCAUCGCCAGCCCUUCCUACCCUGGAGUUCAGAGGACUGCUGACUGUGUGUCAGCACCUCCAGGAGUGACUUUUAUUUAGAAGCAGUUCCAAGGACCAAGGGGCAGAUUGCUUAUCAGCCCUUCUGCUGCCUGAGCCUCAGUUCUCCUGUCUUCUUGACUUGGACGUGUGCCAGGUAUCCCUGGGAUAUGUGUGGUUCAUGCUGGGGCCAGCUCUUCUUGGGGCCGGAGUAUGGAUGAUGUAGUAAUGAGGUGGCCAGUGCCAUUACUGCUGGCUCCCCCCAUUACUACUGGCUCUGAGCCUUGGGGCUGUGAGGGGCACCUGUGUACCUGCGGGUCAGAUCUGUCUGUCCCAGGCUGGCUGCCAAGAGCAAGUGCCUUUGUUGACAGAUCCCUGCUGGAGAGCCUGGCAUGGAAGUGUAGGUCCUCACGCAUGUCAGGAGCACUGACGGGUCACUCAGGCAGCCUGAAGCGCGCCCCCCUGAUGAAAGAGAAGGCUGGCGAUCUGGGGAUCACUGUCACGCUGUGGAGAGCAUGCCUUCUGUUGAAAGCAUGAAUGCAUGCAUAGCUCAUGGGCAGAUUCUGGCAUGAGAGCCGGGCCAAUGGGCUUGGUGACUCAGGAGAAGCUGAGUGCACCUCCCUGGGGCGGGCAGUGGUAACCGUAUGGCUGGUUGGCCUGGCCUUCUCUGGCCUGAAUCAAAUGCAGCAGGCGUCAUCCAAGCCGUAAGCACCUUUCCCCAAGUUGCUCAAAGUGUUUUCCGAGCAAACAGUUGUUUCUUCACACCGUGAGAAGUAGGUGGGGUGACAAGGCUGUCUUUGUCCCUGUCUUUCAGAUGAGGAAAUUGGAAAGCUUGCCUGGCCUGGUGGGGAGGCCAAGGGAGGGAGAAGGCACUGUCCCGCCCUAGGCUCUGGAGUCCCGAGGGCUGGGGCCAACUGUGCCCAGUCACCAGUCCCUGCAGGGAGGGGCAGGGUGUAUGGGAAGGAGGCUAGAGGUGGAAAAGACACAUCUCCUUUCUCUGGACCAAGAGGCUUUGGAAAGCAGUGGCGGAAGCUCUUGCUGGGCCCUGUGGCCCUCGGUGUUGACAUUGGCUAUUGGUGACGAUGGAGGAUGUCACAGUACCCUGGCCUACUUGGUCUGCUUGAAGCUCCUGGUGGUUAACAGUGACCUUCUGGGGGCCUCAUCCUGUCUCAGGCGUUAUUCCAAGCAUGGAGAACACAUUGAUGAGUGGGUCGUGUAUGACCUUGCCACUACAGUGCUCACUGGAGUCCCAGUUGAUGUAAAAUUAUGGUGCAAUCAUUUUGGAGAGUAGCAUGUGUCCUAAGGAUGAUACACAGGAAUAAGACUGGGCUGGGGAGAUGGCUCAGUGGUGAGAGUGUUUGCCAUGGAAGAAGGCCUGAGUUCAAAUCCCAUGUACCCAUGUAGAAAGCCAUGGGUGAUUCUGUGUGUCUAUAACCGUAUUGCUGUGGAGGGCUGGGACAGAAGGAUCACUGGAGCUUGUCGGCAGGCUGCCUGUCUAGUUCUAGUGAGAGACCCUGUCUCAAGGGAGGAAAGUGUGGAUAGAGCAGGACACCAGUGUCCUGUGGUUCCUGCAUGAAUGGUGAACACAGGCACCCUAUAUACAAGUGCACAUAUACCAUGCAUAUACGCCAUACUUACACACACGCACGCACUAUACUUGCACCCACCAUAUAUAUAUGUAUGCACACACACACACACAUGUAUAUAUAUAUAUACACAUAUAUAUAGCACACACAUACACACACACACACACACACACACACACACACACACACACACACACACAGAGUCUCUCUUACAACAAAGAGCAGAGGGGAAGAGUAAAGGGAAUAACUUCAGAUACAGGCUUAGGAAAGAAUGAGGUGGGCAGACCUGGGAGCAAGCUUCCGGGGGAGGAACAGCAGGUGCAGAAGUUCUGAGGAAAUGGGGUAGCAGGUCCAAAGGCCAGGGAAGUCUCUGUUCUUAGAUAGUGGUGAGAGAUGACCUGAGGGCUCUGAGCAGGGCCCUGGGAAGGCAGAGAGAACCUGGUGGCAUGGCCAUGUAUGAUUGUGACCGCAGGGACAGGGGAGGAUGGGGGAUAUGGGAUAUGGGCUAGUCAGUACAAUGCUUAACCUUACAAGUAAAAGGACCUGAGUUCAAUUCCCUAGAACCCAUAUAAUAAAAUCUGGGUGUGGUGAUGUGUAGUUAUAAUCCCAGCACUGGGGAAGGUAGGGUCAGGAGGAUCCCUGGUGCUCACCAGCCAGCCUCAUCUACUUGGUGAGUUCCAGACCAGUGAGAGACCCUGUCUCAAAAAACAAAACCAAAAACGGUAGGUAGGUGGCUUUUGAGGAUUGAUAAUCAAAAUUGUAUUUUGGCUUUCCUCUAUGCAUAUAUACAUAUACAUGUAUACCCCCAUGUGUGCACGCAUGCACACACACACACACACACACACACACACACAAAACCUGGAACAAGAAUGUGUGCCUGUGGGUGAGUAUAAACAACCACCGAUCCAAGAGGCUCUUUUUGACCACACAAGUGGCAUUCUGCAUUGUGUAGAUUUUGGAAAAAGGAAGUUGUAUGGCACACCUGUAAUUGUAGCAACUGGGAGGCUGAGGCAGGAGGAUCACACAUUUGAGGCUAGUCUGAGCUACAAGUGAGACUGUCUCAGGAAAGAACUGCAUCAGAAAAGUUGACAUGGCCCCCCGCUAGGCACUGACCUGCUGCUGGAGGGCCAGGUCAGAGCCCCCCCCUGCAGGGUGCAUUCCAAUUCUCCUCUAGGUCAGAGCCUCCUGCAGGGUGCAUUCCAAUUCUCCUCCAGGUCAGAGCCCCCUGCAGGGUGCAUUCCAAUUCUCCUCCAGGCCAGGUUUGGGGGCAGGAGAUGAACAAUGAUGUGCGUUCAUGUGUGGUGACUACCCGGUGUCCCAGUGGAAAGCUGUACAAUUUGAAGCAGAGGUUUGCUUGCUGAUAGACUGAAAAUGCUGUUAGGAGGUGGCUGUUGUGGAUAAAGCCUCGGAGGUUCCUCCUUUAUGACCAGUUUGUCCGCUAGGCAGAUCCAUGUCUGGGUGUAUGGCACUUUGUAGCUUCCAUGACCAUAUUCUCAUUUGCUUUACUCUGCACUUCAGAAGACUUGGGAUGUUGCUCAGUGGUAGAGUGCUUGCCUGGCAUGUGCAGGGGUUGAUGACCCCCAAUACCAGAGGGGGACAGAGAGAUUGAGAGAUUCUCCUAGCACCUUAUCACAGGCAAUGUUUAGUUGUAGGAGUGAACAGAGGGUAAGUCCGGAGUCACACAGCACUAGGACACCUGGGAAUUAGCCCUACUUCUCAGCUUUUGCCUUCAGGCUUUCCCAGGCCUCAGUUGUCAAGCCUUUGGUGGCAGUGGGCCAGAGUGGUUCCGGGCACCUGGACAGAUUGUGUGACCAGGAGUUUGGUAAGCUGGGAGGUGCUGCAACUCUCGGGGCUCCUGGGAACCAGUUCUCCGCUCACAGAGCUGUGUUGCGACGUGACUAAUGGGUGAGAGGGUUGAGACCCAAAGCCAUUACUUCACCAAUGUGAAUCAGGGUCAUCUGUCAUCUUAGGAGGCAUGGGGAGCUGUGCCACUCAGGAGGGAAGGGAGGUGCCUACUUCUGAGUCCAGCCCUCAGUGUGGUCUGGCGCUUGUCCCAUGUGAGGGAGCAGGGACAUUUCUAGAAAGAAGAAUGUGCAAGGUGGCCAGGUUGGGAGCCAGAGCUAGGGGACGUGACUGUGCCUGCUGCAAUACCCCAGUCCACAGGGGUAUUGUCAGGAGCUGGCCGGUGACCAUCGUGGCCUGAAGGCUCUUGGGCACUGUGACAGGGGUUGGGAAGGCUACCUGAGGAGAACAGGUUCAUACCGAGCUUCUGGAGUCUCCUCAGACAUGGCCUCUCUUCCUAGCUUGGCAGGGUUGCUGUCACAGUUUGGGUGUGAAACGUCCCCCAGGUUCAUGCAUUUACACACUUGGUCCCUCCCGGAAGUGCUGUUUUUCGGGACCUUUGGGACACAAGGACUAGCAGAUGUAGGCAGCCAGAGGUUCUCUACUUCCUAAUUUCCCAAGAUGUGAACAAGCUGCCUCAUGUUCCUGUCACCACAUAUGGGAGCUGUUCAUCAGAGAGUUGGGGCUCAGAGGAAGAACCCUCGCGGGCCACUCCUAGAGGAUACAGUUGCCCCCACUUGGGUCAGUGGACAAGUGUUCAGCGAGCUGGAACGGCACUUCCUACCAGGAACCCAGGCUCUCUAUCAUGGCUGCCCGAUGGGCUCUCGGCCUAGCCCUGAGCUGUUCCUGUAGUCCUCACAUCAUCCAUAUCUGCCAGCUUCUCCUGCCCCCAUUCUUGCUGAUAUCCACAGUGCUUCAAACUAACAUGAUCUGCUGUGUUGGUUUGGUUGUUCUCUUCUAGUGUUUCUUCUUUGCAAGUUCCACGAGGGACGGAAUCUUGCCUGAUUUAGGUCAUAGGUUCACAUCCUGGGGACAGAGAACAUCUGUGUCUCUCCUUUGGAAGAAUGGAUCAAUGUGUGGAUGUCAGGAAGCAGCUGGGGUGGAGAUGGGACCAGGAGGCGUAGACCACAUGAGUGGAUGCCAUGUGAGGGCCCUCUCGCAGAGGGGUGCCUGAAGCCCCUGGAGGGCAGACUUCCUAGGGUCCUACAGACUCCUCUUGAGGUACUUCUGGAGGGCCACAAUGUUGUCUGGUAAAGGAGUGGGAUUUGUGGGUGAGUAAACGGGCCGGCCAAGAGGUCAGGAGUAACUCAGUCUCAGAAACUGCACGUGUCAUAGGAAUGGAGGAGCCAGGAAUGUGUUUUGCACUGAUGUCAACCUGCCCCCACUGGACCACACCUGCUUUUCGACCCAUGAGCGUGGGAAUGAGAAAAGCGUGGCUUGUUUGGGUAGAGGUGGAGCACCGGUAAGAGUGGAGGAUGCUCGUUCCCUGACUCAGAGCGGGGAGGUACUCUGGGCCCUGCCACAGCCUGAGGACUGUGGUAAGUCAGCCUGGGUUCCUGGCCCUUCCCCAUCAGGUGCCCCAGUGAGGGCCUUGUUCGGACAGGUGCGCUCUCUGCAUGGGACAGCUUCCCUUUGCCCAGGUUCCUCUUGUCUGUAAGAUGCAGGAGUCGUCUUCUCCACAGAAUGGAGCCAGGACCUGGAGGCUGGACUCCCAGCUCCCAGCUUAGGCUCCGUACCACCCCCUGCCUGUUUCGUCUUCUGCUUCCCCACAGCUUCACCCUCCAAGGAUGUCAGGGCCAUGUUCACCAGCCUUUCUUCUUUUCCUCUCCCCAGCCUCAGGCUGCCCUGCUAAGAGUCUAUGUUUUCUGAGACCCCUGCAGCCAGGGUCUGCUGCUGCAUAGAGACCCUGCCUCUGCUGCAGCUCUCCAGACAGUGGUGCAGGCUUCAUAGCAGCCUGGCCUCCAUAUUCUUCACGUAUUUGAAUCCAAACCCAAAGGCUUGUGUGACUCAUUGAAGGGCUGGUCUUGGCUCUCACUGACCAGUUUAUCACUGAUGCCAAGUGACAUGCAGGCUCCUCGGUUACCAGGAAGUUGGGGUUCUCUCUUUGGGGGUUCUUAGAAGAUUUUGUAAGGCUGGUGAGAUGAGGGGGCUGGUGAGGUGACCCAGUGGGUAAAGGCACUGACUUCCAAGCCUCACAACCUGAGUUUCAAGCCCUAGGAUCCAAAGGGUAAAAGUUGUCUUCUGAUCUCCACAUGUGGGCCCACAUACACACACACACACACAUGCACAUAAAGGGAAUUUGAAAAUGUAAUGAAAAACUGUUUUUUAAGGAUUUGAAGAUGGACUCAGAACAAUUUUGUUAAAGUUUGAGAGAAAAACAAGAGGGGAAACAAACAGAAAAUCCCGGCAGUGGCCAGAGGAGAGGGGAGAUGGAGAGUCAGGCCUUUGCAGUUUGGAGGUCAGAGAAACUGUCCUGAGCAUCAGGGAAGCAUGCUCAGGGGUGCUGAGCCACGGACCUGAGUUCAGAGGGACCAAGUUCCAGGCUUGUGUGUCCAAGAGCAAAGGGUUGCACCAGGGACACAAGAUUGGAAACAGAAAUAGAGACAGUUUAUGAAAAAGAAAAGCAGGGGCAGGAGAGGUGGCUCAGUGGCUAAGAGCACUGGCUGCUCCCUAGAGGACAAGGGUUUGGUUCCCAGCACUCACAUGGCAGCUCACAACCACCUGAAACUCUAGUUGCAAGGUGACUGAUGCCCUCUUCUGGCCUCUGUUGGCACUGCAUGCUAGUCCACAGACAUGCAGGCAAAACACCCAUGCACAUAAAAACAAAUACAUCUUAAAAUAUUUUUUUUUAAGAAAGGCAGAAGUAGGCAGAUUUCUGUGAGUUCAAGACCAGCCUGCUCUACAUAGUGAGUUCCAGGCUAGCUGAAGUUACACAGUGAGACCUUGCCUCAAAAAUAUUAAAAUAAAUAAGUAGAGAGAAAGGAAGAAAAGAAAGAAGGAAAAGAAAAGAAUGGAAGUGGGAUGAUGAGUUGAAGGAGCCCAGAAAAUGCUGGGCCAUGUAACCCCUGACCCUUUUUACAUCAUUUACCUAACACCCAAUUCUCCCAAGUUUGUUUGCUGCAGGCUUUUCUUUUGUGUGCUCUAUUAGAAGAAGUCCAGGCAAAGAAGGGCUUCCGCUGCUCCUCUGCAAGCUGCCAGCUUUCAUGUCUAAUCCUGGGGCUUCUGUCAGUCUCUCCUGCCUUUCUAGCUCUGUCUCUUGCACAAGUGCCGUGUGUGUGGAGAUUAGACCGUUCUCCACAAACAUCUGGGCUGAGCAUUGUUAUCCCAUGGGUCACAUCGUUUAUGCCUCACAACACCCUGUCACCUUUCUGUAAUUUGUCCCAAACGCGUCCAGGGUGGUGGGACUCGAGUCCAGUUCCUCCAUUUAGGGUAGUGUGUCUGCUUCACUUUGAAAAUGGGUGUUUGAUGGACGCAGCUUAUGUCUUCUUUAAUUUAUUUUUUUGUUUUUGUGUGUUACAUUUGCCUGCAUAUAUAUGUUCACUGUGUGUAUGCAUUACCCACAGAGACCAGAAGAGGGUAUAAUAUCCCUGAGAACUGAUGGAGUAAUGGGUUGCACACCCAUCACCUCACACUUCUCCCCUUGUUGGAUUCAACCCACCAAUUGAUGCUUCUGUAAUUCUCUAGUUGGUCAGAUGAGCCAGUUUGAUAUUACUAAAUCUUUUCUUUCUUCCUUCUCCUCCUCCUCCUUCCUCUUCCUCUUCUUCACCUCCUCCUUCUUCUCUUUUGAGACAGAGUUUCUCUGUGUAGCCCUGGCGUUCUUGGAACUUGCUCUGUAGACCAGGCUGUCCUCGAUCUCAGAGAUCCACCUGCCUCUGCUUCCUGAGUGCUGGGAUUAAAGGUGUUUGCUACCAAGCCUGGCUGCAUCCUGAGUCUUUAAAAUUCUGGAUGUGUUUAUGUCUCCUUGCUUCUUGAUCUUUUAGGCUUGAAAUUCUUCAAAAGAUCUCAAAUGUCUGUCUCCUCCAAAAGCAUUUUCACUUGGCUGCACGUAUGGGAGCGGCUUCUGUGUCCGGAGGCUGUGCUGGCUGGCUCUUGAGUUUGAUGGUGUUUGUAAUAGGGCAGAAAAAGAGCCCCCCCCUUUUAUACUAGUUUAGUCACAAUGUUUUCGUGGAUUUUGUUAGAACCGAACCCUAUUCGUACCACACACAGCCUGUCUCAAAACACAAGGUGGAUGGUACCGAGGAAUGACAUCCAAGGUUGAUCACUGGCCUCAACGGGCAUACACAUACAUGUAUGCACACAUGUGCACCUGCCCUCAUGAGCACAAACACACAUGCACAAGCUACAAUGUCCUUCAUGGGUCAUGGUCAAAGGCAGUUGUUCUGUGUUUUUUUCCUACUGGAAUGUUUUGGUAAUGUCUCAGGUAGGACAUGCUGUGGAGCUUUGGAGUGAGCUCCAUUUUGGCCCAGUGCACUGGUCAGCAGGUGCUGGGUGGUUGUGGGAGGGGCUUGGGAGUACAUUGUAGAGUAUCAGGAUCCCCUAUGCUGGGAAGCCUGGGUAUGGCUGUUGAAGUCACAGCAUAGUCAAUGGUGUGUCAACUCCUUAAGCUCUUGUGGUCACUAGCUGGGCAGUGAAUGGAAUUAGUGUAGCACUGAGCACUCGACCAAAAAAAAAAGACCUGAUCCCACGCAGCUGCCAGGCUCCACAGUACUUGGCGUGGGUACUGGUCUGACUACUCCAAAGCCAAGUUGGGUAACUCCUCCCCUCCCCUUAGCUGACAAGGUUAGUCAUUGCUGACACCUCCUGAGUCCUCAGUCUUUCUCAUUUUCCAGAACAAUCCCCACAAACAGGUCACGUGGUAUGCCACGUCCAUUGCCAGACUCCUUUGCAGAUCCACGACUGUUUUGCAUACCCGGGUGUUUCAAAGGCUGACCUCCUCCUGUGAGUCCCUGCCCUAGGUGCUUCAGCCUGUGGCUGUAACCUUUGCUCCCAGGCCUUGCUUUAGCCAGGGGGGAACUUUCCUCUUCUGCCCAUCCAUCUACCUCCCACCUCAGAGGUCACCGAACCCUUCCCCAGGCAGCUGCUCUGCUAAGUCCAGAGGGAUAAAGCAAAUGGAGGUUUCUAAGCAAAGCCCAAGGGCAGUGCUGAGCUAAGUCGCCUGCACCAGCAGAGUGCUGACGGCUUUCCAAGCCACGUGAGCACGCAGGGCUGCUCAGUGUCUUUCCUACAGGAAGUGUGUCUUCAUCCAGCUGGUCAUCCAUCAUCAGGAAGUACUUAGUACACAAGUAUGAAGUACCAAGGGGCUCUUCCCAGACAGGUGCUGCCUAGACGCAAGGCUCAGUACCCGACCCGAUGGCACAUGCCUGUAAUCUCAACAACUCAGGCGGAUCUGUAAAUUCUGUGUUCUGCCUGGGUGACUUAGGGAGACCUUUUGUUGAAAUUCAGCUUUUAGGAAAAGGUCUGGGGAGUGUACUCAGUGGUAAAGUGCUUGCUUGGCAUCUGCAAGGCCCUGCAUUCCCUCUCCAGCCCUGAAAAAAGAAAAACAAAAAGCAAAUGAAAAGGCAACAAUAGUUCGUGCCUACCAAUGCAAACAUAAUAGUUUGUGCUAAAUUGACUUAGUGAAAGGUUUGUUUUUUAAAAUUAUUUUUAUUAUCUUAAAUUUCGUGUAUGUGUGUGGGGGUGCUGGGUGCAUGUGAGUGCAGGUGCCUUGGAGAAAUGUUGGAUCCUCUGGAGCUGGAGUGACAGGUUGCUAUGAGCCUCCUAAUGUGAGUGCUGGGAACCUAAUUCUGAUCCUCUUCAAGGAGCUCAGCCACUUCUCCAGUCCUUAGAGCAGUGGUUUUCAACCUAUAGGUCCAGACCCCUUUGGAGGAUUGAAUGACCCCCUCCCCCGGGCCACACAUCGGAUAUCCAUAUCAGAUAUUUACAUUACAACUCACGACAGUAGCAAAAUUAGUUAUGAAGUAGCAACGAAAUAAUCUUAUGGUUGGGCUCACCACAACACGAGGGACUGUAUUAAUGGGUCGAAGCAUUAGGAAGGUGGAGAACCAUGUUCUAGAGGAAGAUUUAUUUCUUCAGGCCGGUUGUGGCAAGCCCAGGACUUUCUUCUUACCAUUCUGUAUGUGUUCUGUUGUGUGAUGCUAGCUAGACAUUGAGCCCUGAACUAAUUCAUUCCUUCCCUCUCCUUCCCCUGCUUCUCCUGUUCCUCUUCCUUGCUUCCAAUUAAUUUUGUGAGCAUGUGUGUGUGUGUGUGUGUGUGUGUGUGUGUGUGUGUGUGUGUGUGUGUGUGUGUGUGUUGUACUGGGGUUCAGGCCCAGAAGUUCUCUUGAAAGCCGUUUGAGUGGCUCAGAGAAGUGGGACCGUUGACAUAAAGUGACUUUCUAAAGAGUGGGGCUCGUCCAGGGCCUGUCCCACAAGGUGUCCCACCUGAGUAAACACUAUUUGCAUAUCAAUGUGUGGAUUACAGACUUUUUCUUUGUGGGAACAAGCCAGUGCUCUGGUACUCACACAGGUGUACAAACAUCUAGGGAACCCUCAAACCCUGUGCAACCUGGGAACAGAGUCCUCAGGCCUGAGGCCAAGGCCAUGCAGUCUCUGUCCGGGGCAGUUGUUGCAGGACCCCCACCUCCCGUCCGCUGCCGCCGCCGCCGCCGCCGCCGCCGCCGCCGCCCUUUCACAGGUGACCCAGCUUCCCGCAUGCUCGGAGUCACUGCUUCUGCAACCAGAUUUGCAACUCAAGGUUUUCCUCUUGGUUCUUAGUCACACAGAUAAAAGAACUUAAAAUGGAUUCAAAAGAAAUCUCAAAAACAAUUUUAUCGGCAUUAUAGACAGAAACCCAGCAGGGCCAGCAGCUGCCUCGAGAAGAAGAAAAAGAGAAAGUUGUGGUUUUUUUGAGUUUGAGGUCAGGAAAGCAAGCCGGUUAAGCAAUGGACGUCUACAAGCAGCUGCCACGGAGAGGGGGGAGGGCGGGGUCGAGGGAGGGAGAGAGGUUCUUCUGGAGGUUGAGAGGCCAGGCAGGCUUCGGAAGGGCAGGAAGGAAGAUGCCCCUCUUUCUGAAUUCGAACUCAGAACCGGAGCAGGUUUUGCAGUGAGACCGUUAGCACCCACAGGAAAGGGGGGCUUUCUCGGUAUUCGAAGACCUCCGUCCUGAAUGUCUUCAGGUGUGUUGUGUUUCUGUGCACCUCCUGGUUCCGGGCCACAGAACCUCUUGAGGUUCUAAGACAGGAGUUUGUCCUUGUUUCAGGAUGUCUUCGCCUUGCCUGGGCAGAGGCUCCUGCCGUCUCAUCACAGGAGGCUGUCAACCCUUGACCAGGACAUCUGUGAUGGGGUGAAGGGGACUAUGGACCGUAGGGGGACAAGUUUUGAGAGGUGGGUUUCUCCUUCCACCACGUGGGGCCUGAGGACAGGUCUCAGGUUGCCAGCCCCGGCGGCGGCGGCGGCGGCAAGUGUCUUCAUGUGCUAAGCCAUCUCCCAGGCCCCGACUCCUCCCCUCCAGAAAUCAUUCCAGUUUUGCCAGAUGACAUCGCUGUGCGCUCUGUCCCCCGAGGUGCUUGUGGAGCACUUGGCUGCAGUGUCUUUGUUUGUUGCACACGGAGGAAAGGUGGCUUUCAUAGUGGUUGGAGAGUUCACUGUACACGAACAGGACUUUUCCAAGAGCCACACUGAAUGCCAGGCCUCAAGUAGGGCCCCAUGCCGCAGCCACCACAGCCGUAGCAGCUGUUGCUCCUGCUGCUGCUGCUGCUGCUGCUGCUGCUGCUUGCUGCAGCCUCUCCCAGGAGGGUAAGGUGGGAGGCUCGGGCAGUAUCGGAUGGGUGCAGUACAGAAGAACAGGGUAAUCGGAUUGUUACAGGUGCUUCAAGGCAGCUGAGUCACUGCGGGUGAUCAAUGACCCGGUGGAGCAGACGUCAUCAGUGGGGGCGGGGAGGCAGCCUGUAACUCCAAGUCCUCCAUCUGGAAGCCGUGGGGCUAGCAGGCUACACCAGAUUGGUUCCUGCAGGAAGGACAGACAGGCACUGGCUGCUGAUGCAGAUCAGUGUGAUUUCCUCUGCAGCGGUACAGACAGGUCUGGGGAAGCCUGCUGGCUUGACCCAUUCCUUCCAGAUGGAGGACCCCAAGUGGCAGGUUUCCUGCACACUCCCACUGAUGAUGCCUGCUCCCCUGGAUUAUCAGUCACACCCAGUGACCCAGCUGCCCUGCGGCAUUUGAGGCAACCCUGUGUCCGUUCAGGGGAUGAAGAAAUGGAGACUCAGAGAGACAAAGAAGCUACAAGCAGGAAGUGGCUGAGAUGACUGCAGAAUGGCUCCAUCCUUAGACAUCAGGGACGGUGUGACCAGUCUCUGAGAGCUACAGCCAUGAUUUCAAGUAGUUCUAACCCAAGGCCAGAGGGCUGCAGGCCGCUGAAGAUAGUUAGGAAUGCAGCCCAACACAAAACUCUAACAUUUACUUAAAAGACUAUGUAAUUUAUUCUAUUUUUGUGAUUCUGUUGACUCAGUUAUGAGGUUCUUUUUUCAUCUUUGUGUGCAUGAUAUGGUGUGUGUGUGUGCGCGCGCGCGCGCGCAGCGCGCGUGUGUGUGUGUGCGCGCACGCGCGCGUGCGCGCACGCUCACAGAUGUGUGUAUGUGUGCAUGCUAUGUGUAUGUGUGUGGAGGUUGGAGGAAGACCUGGGGUGUUAGUCCUUGUCUUCCACUUUGUUUGGGACAGAGUUUCUUGUUUGCUGCUGUGUACCCAGGCUCGCUAGCUCAUGAACUUCUGGAAAGUCUCCUGUUUUCUUUACCAUCUUGUUAUAGGAGAACUGGGAUUACAAGAUGCCCACUAUAGCACCUUGCUUUUGUGUGGGUUCUGGGGGACCUGAAAUCAAGUCUUCCCCCCAUGCACGGGAAGAGCUCUGGUUCUGGGGGACCUGAAAUCAAGUCUUCCCCCCAUGCACGGGAAGAGCUCUGGUUCUGGGGGACCUGAGAUCAAGUCUCCCCGCAUGCACGGGAAGAGCUCUGGUUCUGGGGGACCUGAGAUCAAGUCUCCCCCCAUGCACGGGAAGAGCUCUGGUUCUGGGGGACCUGAGAUCAAGUCUCCCCCAUGCAGGGGAAGAGCUGUACCCUGAGCUAUCUUCCCAGGCUGCUUGGGUGGUUCUGGAGUCUUAACUUGGUAGAUGACGACAUGGUGGUGUAAUGUCAAAAGGUUGGACACACCCGGUGGAUGUUCAGAGAUGUGAGCUGUCUUCUUCAUUCCUUUGGCCUCUGUACCGCGCAAUAAUCUGUGUCCCUGAAGGGGGACCCUGCCACCUUGAGAGGAGCCAGCAGCCCAUUGGAGCCCGGUUGGGGAUCUAGAGAGGAGCACCAGAUUCAAUCAAUAAAAAAAGCAAGAUGAAGCCGUGAGAUGGCUCCGUGGGAAAAGAGCCUGCUGUGCGAGCUGUGAGUUUGAUCCCUGGAACCCACAGAAAGGCAGAGGGAGAGAGUCAACACCACGGAGUUGUCCUCUGCUCUCCAUAUGUGUGCUGUGGUAUCAGUCCUCCCCAAUAACACUAACAAUACUAGAAAUGCAAGAUGCCUAGAUAUGUUUGAAUUGACUUUCAUGUAAAGCUAAACAAUUUUUGGAGGAUAAAAAGUAUGUCUUGUAUGAUCAUUGGAAUAUAUUUAUUUAAUAAAUAAAACUAUUUAAUAUACUUA